CGAAUAAGAAGGUCCGGCUAACUUCGUGCCAGCAGCCGCGGUAAUACGAAGGGACCUAGCGUAGUUCGGAAUUACUGGGCUUAAAGAGUUCGUAGGUGGUUGAAAAAGUUAGUGGUGAAAUCCCAGAGCUUAACUCUGGAACUGCCAUUAAAACUUUUCAGCUAGAGUAUGAUAGAGGAAAGCAGAAUUUCUAGUGUAGAGGUGAAAUUCGUAGAUAUUAGAAAGAAUACCAAUUGCGAAGGCAGCUUUCUGGAUCAUUACUGACACUGAGGAACGAAAGCAUGGGUAGCGAAGAGGAUUAGAUACCCUCGUAGUCCAUGCCGUAAACGAUGUGUGUUAGACGUUGGAAAUUUAUUUUCAGUGUCGCAGGGAAACCGAUAAACACACCGCCUGGGGAGUACGACCGCAAGGUUAAAACUCAAAUGAAUUGACGGGGACCCGCACAAGUAGUGGAGCAUGUGGUUUAAUUCGAAGAUACGCGCAGAACCUUACCAACACUUGACAUGUUCGUCGCGACUCUAAGAGAUUAGAGUUUUCGGUUCGGCCGGACGAAACACAGGUGCUGCAUGGCUGUCGUCAGCUCGUGUCGUGAGAUGUUGGGUUAAGUCCCGCAACGAGCGCAACCCUCACUUUUAGUUGCCAUCAUUAAGUUGGGCACUCUGAAAGAACUGCCAGUGAUAAGCUGGAGGAAGGUGGGGAUGACGUCAAGUCCUCAUGGCCCUUACGUGUUGGGCUACACACGUGCUACAAUGGUAUCUACAACAGGAAGCAAGACUGCGAAGUUAAGCAAAUCCCUAAAAGAUACCUCAGUUCGGAUUGCACUCUGCAACUCGAGUGCAUGAAGCUGGAAUUACUAGUAAUCGUGGAUCAGCGUGCCACGGUGAAUGCGUUCCCGGGUCUUGUACACACCGCCCGUCACACCAUGGGA
RNAcentral lists this ribosomal RNA (928 nucleotides) under marine metagenome. RNAcentral's name for it is "bacterial SSU rRNA". It matches the Rfam family "Bacterial small subunit ribosomal RNA", at positions 480 to 1409 of the family's 1533-position model. The record is from RNAcentral.